AUUGAACGCUGGCGGCAUGCCUUGCACAUGCAAGUCGAACGGCAGCACGGGAGCAAUCCUGGUGGCGAGUGGCGAACGGGUGAGUAAUAUAUCGGAACGUGCCCAGUCGUGGGGGAUAACGUAGCGAAAGCUACGCUAAUACCGCAUACGAUCUAUGGAUGAAAGCGGGGGAUCGCAAGACCCCGCGCGAUUGGAGCGGCCGAUAUCAGAUUAGGUAGUUGGUGAGGUAAAGGCUCACCAAGCCGACGAUCUGUAGCUGGUCUGAGAGGACGACCAGCCACACUGGGACUGAGACACGGCCCAGACUCCUACGGGAGGCAGCAGUGGGGAAUUUUGGACAAUGGGCGCAAGCCUGAUCCAGCAAUGCCGCGUGCAGGAUGAAGGCCUUCGGGUUGUAAACUGCUUUUGUACGGAACGAAACGGCGAGCUCUAAUACAGUUUGCUAAUGACGGUACCGUAAGAAUAAGCACCGGCUAACUACGUGCCAGCCGCCGCAGUAA
Molecule: ribosomal RNA, 500 nt
Filed under: uncultured bacterium
Lineage: Bacteria
Description: partial 16S ribosomal RNA
Rfam family: Bacterial small subunit ribosomal RNA
Source: RNAcentral